UGUGAGACUCACAGCACUGGGUGACCCCUCCAGACGUGGUCAGGUGUGUGUGUGGUCAGGUGUGUGUGUGUGUGGUCAGGUGUGUGUGUGUGUGGUCAGGUGUGUGUGUGUGUGAGACUCACAGCACUGGGUGACCCCUCCAGACGUGGUCAGGUGUGUGUGUGGUCAGGUGUGUGUGUGUGUGGUCAGGUGUGUGUGUGUGUGGUCAGGU
This is a long non-coding RNA of Cyclopterus lumpus (lumpfish), 211 nucleotides long. RefSeq lists it as uncharacterized. Lineage: Eukaryota; Metazoa; Chordata; Actinopteri; Perciformes; Cyclopteridae. The transcript is spliced from 3 exons. The record is from RefSeq and is a predicted model, not a curated record.